AGAAGUGAAAGGGCAUCUUGGGUCUGGGCACAGUAUCAGGGAGGUUGGCGUGUAUGUUACACAUCAGGGAGUGGAGAACUGAAACAGGAGAAGUAGUUGGAGUCCAAGGAGCCUGGCCUUUAUAUGUCAUGGCAGCCACAGAAGGGUUUUACGGAGGAGAGUGCCAUGGGCAGCCAAACAGGUGGCACGUGGAACAGAGAUGGAGAACUGAUGGCCACAGCAGAAUGUACCUAGGCUUGGAGGAGACCAGCAGGCUCUGGGAUGCUGCUUGGGUAAGAAAGGGACUCAGGCUUGCAGUGACUGUGGCUGGGGCACAGAGAAAAGUGACAGGCACUCAGCUUUUCCCAGGUGACCAUGUCCAACCCUUCAUAGUUCUAAGAUGAAUAACCUGAGGCCCAGAGAGGCUAUGUGGUUUGCCCUAAAGCACACAGCCAGUAAGUGGUGGAGUGGGAUUCUCAUCUCACUGAAGUUGUUCUCUAAAAAGGGAACACCACUGAAGUACGUUAUAUUAAUACAGAUUUAUCAUAACGGUAGGUGGAAAAAGCAAGUUUCUAAAAAAAUCUUCACUCUGAUCCCAACACUUAAAAACAAUAUGUAUAGUAUAGAAAAAGAUUGCAAGGAUAUACAACUUAAUGAUGGUUGUAUCUCAAUGGCAAGAACAUCUCAAUUUAUUUUCUAUUUUUUAAUUUUUCCUGCACAAUGAGCAAGUAAAUUUUUUUUUCAGGCCAUGUAGGGGAAAGUAACUGACAGCAAGUAAAUCUUUUUAAAGCAGAAAAAAAAAUUUUUUUCAGAAGCAGUUGUGAGGACUAGUGGAUCAAAGUAAUGAGAAUGAAUUACAGUGAGUCAAAGUAAUGAGAAUGAAUUACAGUGAGUCCUUAAUGACAGAGAAAUCUAGCUUCUUAGUAGUUUUGUGAAUUUCAGCAAACCUACUUGGUUUUGCUGAGUCUGUUUCCUAAACACUAAAAAAAGGUGGAUUAUUCGUCGUGUCCUGGGGAACUGUUGCUAGGAUUAACUGAGAAGCAGUGUACACAAAAGUCCCAUGCACAGUACUUGGCAUGGUGCUUAACAAAUAUUAGACCUGACUUUUGGUAGUCAUAGCUUUUCCUUGCUGCCCCAGGAAGGCCUAGCACCUCCAGCUGGUUCAGAUAGCAGAAAGGAACCUGGGCAGGUGCUCGUUACUGGGCCUAGAGCUUUCUGUACAACUGACACAUUCCCCUCCUCUGUUUUGACCAUGUGGAGACUAACAGAAUCUCCUCCUUCAACUCAUUUUCAACUAUUUGCCUCUCCCUCUCCCCUUGUCUCAAUAACCUCAGCUGCCUAAAUGGCAUUCUUUUAGUACAUGUGACGUUAUUUUCAACAUAACACACAUUUGCAAAGCAUCUACUAUAUUCUAAAGAUGGACCCAAGGUCCUCCUCUCCAUUCCUAUCAUGCAGAAAUACUUGUCUGAGUUGUAAUUGAGAUGUUAGAUCCUUCAACAUCUACCAUUAGUUGCCAAACUGCAAUUAUAGAGGCACACACAGUAAGUUAUGGAAACUCCAGGGAGGGGAAGAACUAUGUUCUUACCAGUGUAUGUACACAUGUAUGGAAGAGGACGGGAAGAAUGGAAGUGUUUAAGAGUAAUGAUUUCCUCACUAUAUUAUACAUCAGCUUCAUAUACUGUCAUUACUAAAAUGUGCCCAUUCUGUUAAGCUGGUUUCAGAGCCAGUUAAAUGAAUGACCAAGUAGAGCUGUUUCCUCUCAUCUUCAGAGUUACUAAAGUCUGUCCACAGCCUCAAAGUGUGCAGGGAAGGCUUAGGUCAGCUGAUCUGACAAGUAACAUGUUGUUGCCGAGGUAGGUGGGUAGGGUGCAGGUCCAGGGAAUUACAAACUGGCUCAGAGUGUUCUGCUCAGACAUUUUAGAGCUUUUUGGAAUACAUAGCCAUUCUGAUUAACAGGCAGUUUUAAGACUCAAGGGGUGCCAAAACCUGGCAUUAUUUGAUAUUUUUAUUAGUUACUGGUCAAAUGUUAACAUCAAUGCAAGUAAAAAGAAAUUCAUUCAUAGUUUGGUCCAACUGUUUUUACAUUUCUUUAUUCUCUUCCAGCCCUUGUUGAAAUCCAUAAAUCCAUGGACAUGAUAACUGCAGAUUAAAUACAACUGAAUAUUCUACCUCUUUCUCACACACAGAUGCAUACACAGAGUAAUAUUAAGUGCAGCAAUAUUCAAAACCCAGGCCCUGUGACAACAGCCCCUUCAGGCCUGUAGACUGAUAGUCCCGUAGAAAAUGUUGGCAGGGCAAUGAGACACACCCUGUUCUGCCUGUGUUAUUUAUGCCUCUGGCAGUGAAGCCCCUGACAAAGAAGCAUGUCACUGGAACACACGCUCUUUGUUCACAGAGGUGCAUGCCAGCACCGGCUGCGUAAGAAAGGACAGUGCCGUGUCUGUAGUCUCUCCUCCUUUGGCUCUUUUGCCUUCUAUUUGCAGCACAUUGUGGCUAUGUUUAUUAAUUAAUUUGUAGCUUAAUACUAUAAAACACACAUCUAUCCUGUGAGCUAUGUACCAUGGGAAAGAGUCCUUCAUAUCCUCCAGUUGGCUGUAGAGGACAGAAUCUCAAGAUUUGCCCUGAUGCUAAGGAUGAAUACUACCUCCUCCAAGAGCCGCCAGGUUAUCAAUCUCUAGCACAGAGCUACCACAUUUAAGAUUCCUUCAGCACCCUCCACUGCUUUUCCUGCAAGAGGACACCUGGAUGCUGUUUAGUAUGAAAAUCCCCCUGCAACUGUUCCCAACCUAGGGCACCAAAGCAGCCCCCCCGCCAUCUAUGACUCCACUCUAGCCAGACUGAUGAUGUAGCAGAAAAUGGUGGGCUGUGGAGUCAGACCGAUCUGGGUCUAAAUUCUACUCGCUUCUUGCUGGACAUGCAGCUUAAGGUUACUGAGCCUAAGCUCCUCAUCUGUAAAAUGAUCAAAUUAUCACCUACUUCAGAAAGUUGUCUGAGAGAAAUAAUAUCGAGCUCCCUGGUGGGGCGUGGUGGCUCACGCCUGUAAUCCAAGCACUUUGGAGGCCAAGGCGGGCGGAUCACCUGAGGUGGGGAGUUCAAGACCAGCCUGACCAACAUGGUGAAACCCCAUUUUAAAAAAAUUUAAAAAAAAAAAUUUUUUUUUUUUGAGAUGGAGUUUCCCUCGUUACCCAGGCUGGAGUGCAAUGGCACGAUCUCGGCUCACCGCAACCUCCGCCUCCUGGGUUCAGGCAAUUCUCCUGCCUCAGCCUCCCGAGUAGCUGGGAUUACAGGCACGCGCCACCAUACCCAGCUAAUUUUUUGUAUUUUUAGUAGAGACGGGGUUUCACCCGUUGAGAUGUUGACCAGAUGGUCUCGAUCUCUUGACCUCGUGAUCCAGCCGCCUCCCAAAGUGCUGGGAUUACAGGCUUCAGCCACCGCUCCCGGCCUAAAUUAAAAAUUUUUUUUUAAAAAGCCCCUUGAAGCGGAUGCUCAAUAAUCGCUUGUUGGCUCAUGAACCCGAUUUGGUAGUUUAUGUAAAAGCCCUCAUUGCAUAGCCCUGUGGUCCUCAUAACGUUAGUUACAGACCUCUUGUAACAUCUUGAGAACAUCUGUCUCCAUUUUCCCUUGUCAUAAAGACGUCUGCUGAGACAACAGGAGUCAGGAACUACAUACUAGAAAGUUUUUCUUUUCCCAUAUUCUUUCUAAAACUUUAAUCUUCAAAUGUUAACUCACUCAGUAUUUUUAAAACUGAUAUAUAAUUGGCUUACGACUAAGUUUGGGUGCUUUGCCACUAAAUAAACUUAGGUAAAAUAGAAAGGGGGCACUUUCUUAACUUCCAUAAAACUUUAUGCUAAUGUAUAGAAUUUCAUUUUUCUCUAUUAAAUUCUUAGUUUUUGGUGCUUCUUGUCAGUACAAUCUUCUCGGAUUGUAUUUGAUUUGACACAUUAUGUAUUUACUUAUUUUACGAUGAAUAUAACGUUACUCCUCGGUGGUCUGCAAAGCAGUCACCCAGAACUGGUGCUCUAACCCCUGGGACUCUCUAAGCCAGACCAUGACAAAGGCUGCCUGCCAGGUUUCAACGAAACUUAGACCAAGAAUUUACACACCUCACAGGGGUGCCCUAAGGAAUAAAUGAGAUAAAAAGUCUGCCGGGGAGAGGGAACCCCGAGGCCCUAUUAGAAAUGCUAAUUGUUUCC
Long non-coding RNA from Callithrix jacchus (white-tufted-ear marmoset), 4172 nucleotides. NCBI's taxonomy places the organism in Eukaryota, Metazoa, Chordata, Mammalia, Primates, Cebidae. The record is from Ensembl.